CGGGUGUUGUGCUGUGUUCUGUUGUGUUGUGUUGUCGCGCUAUAAAAUAUAUUUAACAAACUGAUUUAUUGCAUUUUGAUAACCCCUCACUGGGUCGGGCCACCGCCUCAACUCGCCAUUCCCGCUUCACAUUCGUCGUCUAGGAGCUAAAAACCUAAUGGCAUCGAGCACAACUGUGCAAAAUGUCAAGCCACACCAGAUGAAGAAGAACGCGUUUUAUAAUUGCCUGACCUUGAGCUAUCAAUCAUGCAGUCGGCUGAAGAAAGUCCUCAACAAACUUCGCCCCGCCCAGUGACAAAAUUUGACAGGAAAGCUGGCAGGAGGUCGUACGCCGCCCCACUCGUCAGUAAGUGAGUGUAAACUUGAGUUCGGACUCCGGACCUCGAACUCGGACUUUGGACCACCAGCUGCCAGGAACGAGAUGCGGCUGUCAGGCUUUUUAAGCCCAAAACGUUGUCGACGAAUUGAUUUUGCUCCUCUCAGCAGGACUCUUAGCCAACUGACACUGGCAGGCGGUCCGUGCAAGAGAGAUGGGAAAGUGAGCACUUUGUAGCCGCAUCUGGCAGACUUACAUACAUACUUAUAUGGAAUCAUAGAAAUAAAUAAAUAAUAAUAAGUUAUUUUUUAAAACUUUUAAUUUAUACUUUUGAACGGAUUAUUCUAACAGUAACUAUAUUUUCUAUAAGUAUAUAUCUAUCAUACAGUAAUUAAUAUAAAUAAAAUGUUCUUUGAACCAGCA
Molecule: long non-coding RNA, 739 nt
Organism: Drosophila yakuba
Lineage: Eukaryota; Metazoa; Arthropoda; Insecta; Diptera; Drosophilidae
Exons: 2
Source: RefSeq, a predicted model, not a curated record